RNAcentral lists this ribosomal RNA (430 nucleotides) under uncultured bacterium. RNAcentral's name for it is "bacterial SSU rRNA". It matches the Rfam family "Bacterial small subunit ribosomal RNA", at positions 354 to 776 of the family's 1533-position model. The record is from RNAcentral.
GUGGGGAAUUUUGGACAAUGGGGGAAACCCUGAUCCAGCCAUCCCGCGUGUGCGAUGAAGGCCUUCGGGUUGUAAAGCACUUUUGGCAGGAAAGAAACGUCAUGGGCUAAUACCCCGUGAAACUGACGGUACCUGCAGAAUAAGCACCGGCUAACUACGUGCCAGCAGCCGCGGUAAUACGUAGGGUGCAAGCGUUAAUCGGAAUUACUGGGCGUAAAGCGUGCGCAGGCGGUUCGGAAAGAAAGAUGUGAAAUCCCAGAGCUUAACUUUGGAACUGCAUUUUUAACUACCGGGCUAGAGUGUGUCAGAGGGAGGUGGAAUUCCGCGUGUAGCAGUGAAAUGCGUAGAUAUGCGGAGGAACACCGAUGGCGAAGGCAGCCUCCUGGGAUAACACUGACGCUCAUGCACGAAAGCGUGGGGAGCAAACAGG